UAGGGAAUCUUCCACAAUGGGCGCAAGCCUGAUGGAGCAACGCCGCGUGAGUGAAGAAGGUCUUCGGAUCGUAAAAUUCUGUUGUUAGAGAAGAACAUGCAGGAGAGUAACUGUUCUUGUAUUGACGGUAUCUAACCAGAAAGCCACGGCUAACUACGUGCCAA
Molecule: ribosomal RNA, 164 nt
Filed under: uncultured bacterium
Lineage: Bacteria
Description: partial 16S rRNA
Rfam family: Bacterial small subunit ribosomal RNA
Source: RNAcentral